GGAAGGGCGUGCUAACUGUUCGCUGCCUAAAAGUAAUAGCAUGACGAUCUGUGUUUCUUUCUCUUCAUGUGCCUUUCUCUUGGCAGACAAAGACCACAAGUGGGCAGAGAGGCAGGCAGAGAGAGAGGAGGAAGCAGGCUCCCUGGCUGAGCAGAGAGCCCGACGCAGGGCUCGAUCCCAGGACCCCGGGAUCAUGACCUGAGCCGAAGGCAGAGGCCCCAACCCACUGAGCCACCC
Molecule: long non-coding RNA, 237 nt
Filed under: Mustela putorius furo (domestic ferret)
Lineage: Eukaryota; Metazoa; Chordata; Mammalia; Carnivora; Mustelidae
Description: lncRNA (ENSMPUG00000026399.1)
Source: RNAcentral